GCGACUGUGGCAGAAUGGGAAUGCAGCGGAUUGUGGCUCCGCCUUAUGUGGGUUCGAAUCCCGUCGGCCGCC
Molecule: transfer RNA, 72 nt
Filed under: bacterium
Lineage: Bacteria
Description: tRNA-His
Rfam family: tRNA
About the family: Transfer RNA (tRNA) molecules are approximately 80 nucleotides in length. Their secondary structure includes four short double-helical elements and three loops (D, anti-codon, and T loops). Further hydrogen bonds mediate the characteristic L-shaped molecular structure. tRNAs have two regions of fundamental functional importance: the anti-codon, which is responsible for specific mRNA codon recognition, and the 3' end, to which the tRNAs corresponding amino acid is attached (by aminoacyl-tRNA synthetases). tRNAs cope with the degeneracy of the genetic code in two manners: having more than one tRNA (with a specific anti-codon) for a particular amino acid; and 'wobble' base-pairing, i.e. permitting non-standard base-pairing at the 3rd anti-codon position.
Source: RNAcentral